AACGAACGCUGGCGGCAUGCUUAACACAUGCAAGUCGAACGAUCCCUUCGGGGUUAGUGGCGCACGGGUGCGGACCGCGUGGGAACCUGCCCUUAGGUUCGGAAUAACUCAGAGAAAUUUAAGCUAAUACCGGAGAAUGUCUUCGGACCAAUGAUUUAUCGCCUCUGGAUGGGCCCGCGUUGGCUUAGCUAGUUGGUGGGGUAAAGGCCUACCAAGGGGACGUUACCUAGCUGGUGAGAGAGGAUGGUCAGCCACACUGGGAGUGACGGACGGCCCAGAUUCGGGCGGGAGGAGGGGGUAAGAAAUAUCGAAGGACGGGAGAAAGCCGCAUCAACCAAGGGCGCGUGAUGGAUGACGUCGUGAGGGAAAUAGAGCUCGUUUGCCCCGGAGCGUGAUUACAGUUCAUGGGGAAUGAAGCACGGCUUACUCACUG
This 433-nucleotide ribosomal RNA is filed under the name uncultured bacterium. RNAcentral describes it as "partial 16S ribosomal RNA". It matches the Rfam family "Bacterial small subunit ribosomal RNA", at positions 29 to 507 of the family's 1533-position model. The record is from RNAcentral.